AACGAACGCUGGCGGCAGGCCUAACACAUGCAAGUCGAGCGAGAACUUCGGUUCUAGCGGCGGACGGGUUAGUAACGCGUGGGAAUAUGCCCUUCACUACGGAAUAGUCCCGGGAAACUGGGUUUAAUACCGUAUACGCCCUUCGGGGGAAAGAUUUAUCGGUGAAGGAUUAGCCCGCGUUGGAUUAGGUAGUUGGUGGGGUAAUGGCCUACCAAGCCGACGAUCCAUAGCUGGUUUGAGAGGAUGAUCAGCAACACUGGGACUGAGACACGGCCCAGACUCCUACGGGAGGCAGCAGUGGGGAAUCUUAGACAAUGGGGGCAACCCUGAUCUAGCCAUGCCGCGUGAGUGAAGAAGGUCUUCGGAUUGUAAAGCACUUUAAGUUGGGAGGAAGGGCAGUAAACGAAUACCUUGCUGUUUUGACGUUACCGACAGAAUAAGCACCGGCUAACUCUGUGCCAGCAGCCGCAGUAAUAC
This 477-nucleotide ribosomal RNA is filed under the name uncultured bacterium. RNAcentral describes it as "bacterial SSU rRNA". It matches the Rfam family "Bacterial small subunit ribosomal RNA", at positions 29 to 526 of the family's 1533-position model. The record is from RNAcentral.